RNAcentral lists this ribosomal RNA (440 nucleotides) under uncultured bacterium. RNAcentral's name for it is "partial 16S ribosomal RNA". It matches the Rfam family "Bacterial small subunit ribosomal RNA", at positions 338 to 795 of the family's 1533-position model. The record is from RNAcentral.
CCUACGGGCGGCAGCAGUAGGGAAUAUUGCUCAAUGGGGGAAACCCUGAAGCAGCAACGCCGCGUGGAGGAUGAAGGUUUUAGGAUUGUAAACUCCUUUUGUGAGAGAAGAUAAUGACGGUAUCUCACGAAUAAGCACCGGCUAACUCCGUGCCAGCAGCCGCGGUAAUACGUAGGAGGCAAGCGUUAUCCGGACUGACUGGGCGUAAAGGGUGCGUAGGUGGUUUGACAAGUUAGUAGCGCAACUCCGGAGCUCAACUUCGGAACUACUACUAAAACUGUUGGACUUGAGUGCAGGAGGGGCAAUCGGAAUUCCUAGUGUAGCGGGGGAAUGCGUAGAUAUUAGGAGGAACACCAGUGGCGAAGGCGGAUUGCUAGACUGUAACUGACACUGAGGCACGAAAGCGUGGGGAGCAAACAGGAUUAGAGACCCUAGUAGUC